Molecule: ribosomal RNA, 253 nt
Filed under: uncultured bacterium
Lineage: Bacteria
Description: partial 16S ribosomal RNA
Rfam family: Bacterial small subunit ribosomal RNA
Source: RNAcentral
UACGAAGGGGGCUAGUGUUGCUCGGAAUUACUGGGCGUAAAGGGCGCGUAGGCGGACAGUUUAGUCAGAGGUGAAAGCCCAGGGCUCAACCUUGGAAUUGCCUUUGAUACUGGCUGUCUUGAGUUCGGGAGAGGUGAGUGGAAUGCCGAGUGUAGAGGUGAAAUUCGUAGAUAUUCGGCGGAACACCAGUGGCGAAGGCGACUCACUGGCCCGAUACUGACGCUGAGGCACGGAAGCGUGGGGAGCAAACAGG